UACGGAGGGUGCAAGCGUUAUCCGGAUUUACUGGGUUUAAAGGGUGCGUAGGCGGACUUGUAAGUCAGUGGUGAAAUCCCGGGGCUCAACCCCGGAACUGCCUUUGAUACUAUAGGUCUUGAAUAUUGUUGAGGUGGGCGGAACGGGUCAUGUAGCGGUGAAAUGCAUAGAUAUGACCCGGAACACCGAUUGCGAAGGCAGCCCGCUAAGCAAUGAUUGACGCUGAGGCACGAAAGCGUGGGGAUCAAACAGG
This 253-nucleotide ribosomal RNA is filed under the name uncultured bacterium. Its description in RNAcentral is "partial 16S ribosomal RNA". It matches the Rfam family "Bacterial small subunit ribosomal RNA", at positions 524 to 776 of the family's 1533-position model. The record is from RNAcentral.